GCCAGACGACCGGGAGUGGGUGUAUUGUUUUCGAUAUGCUCGCGUCUCGGAAAAAUUUACAAUGACGGCACAGUGAAAUCAAAUCAUAUGUGAUCUGAGGCCUACAACAAUGGUCUGCAGCGCAACAUAUGCCCACUUGUAUGGUUAUACGCGCAAGUGUUAGCCAAGUGGAGCAAAGAGAUACUUGACUGGUACCCGAAAGAUGGUGAACUAUUCCUGGCCAAAUUGAAGCCAGAGGAAACUCUGGUGGAGGAUUGUAGCGAUUCUGACGUGCAAAUCGAUCGUCAGAGCUGGGUAUAGGGGCGAAAGACUAAUCGAACCAUCUAGUACU
Molecule: ribosomal RNA, 331 nt
Filed under: Oziella montana
Lineage: Eukaryota; Metazoa; Arthropoda; Arachnida; Trombidiformes; Phytoptidae
Description: partial large subunit ribosomal RNA
Rfam family: Eukaryotic large subunit ribosomal RNA
Source: RNAcentral